UACGAAGGGGGCGAGCGUUGUUCGGAUUUACUGGGCGUAAAGGGCGCGCAGGCGGCGAUUUUUGUCAGGCGUGAAAGCCCCGGGCUCAACCUGGGAACUGCGCUUGAAACGGGAUUGCUAGAGAUCGGGAGAGGAGAGUGGAAUUCCCAGUGUAGAGGUGAAAUGCGUAGAUAUCGGGAGGAACACCUGUGGCGAAAGCGGCGCACUGGACCACAACUGACGCUGAUGCGCGAAAGCUAGGGGAGCAAACAGG
Molecule: ribosomal RNA, 253 nt
Filed under: uncultured bacterium
Lineage: Bacteria
Description: partial 16S ribosomal RNA
Rfam family: Bacterial small subunit ribosomal RNA
Source: RNAcentral